RNAcentral lists this ribosomal RNA (279 nucleotides) under uncultured bacterium. Its description in RNAcentral is "partial 16S ribosomal RNA". It matches the Rfam family "Bacterial small subunit ribosomal RNA", at positions 506 to 784 of the family's 1533-position model. The record is from RNAcentral.
UGCCAGCCGCCGCGGUAAUACGAAGGGUGCAAGCGUUGUUCGGAUUUAUUGGGCGUAAAGCGCGCGCAGGCGGACUUUUAAGUCAGGUGUGAAAUGUCGGGGCCUAACCCCGGAACUGCGCCUGAAACUGAAAGUCUAGAAUGUUGGAGAGGCAUGGGGAAUUUCGCAUGUAGGAGUAAAAUCCGUAGAGAUGCGAAGGAACACCGGAGGCGAAGGCGCCAUGCUGGACAAAUAUUGACGCUGAGGCGCGAAAGCGUGGGUAGCAAACAGGAUUAGAUA